CAUCGGCCUUAUCGAUCUCUAGAUCAAUUUGUUAUGCAAAUUUAGGAUGUUUUAUACGCAAUAUGUUCUCAGUAGUAGCUUAAAUUUGAACUUCUGAUUACUUAGUGACAAUAAAUGGAUAAUUGUAUGUUAUUUUCAACAAAAUUUUAUAACUUUUUUGUUUUAUGAUAGCUUUUUAUUAACGAUACCCACAGAGAUCAAAAUCUGCGAGUUCCAGAUAUAAUAUUGCACCAUGGAUCUCAUUAAGGAUAUACAUAGUCAAAUAUCAUGGACAUUAUAAAGGUUGAGUCUUUAUAUCCUGUUUGCCAGAGUUUGAGAUUCUCCGUUGAAUCUAUUAGACUGUCAAAUAAUUUUUUAGAGAGAAAUAAUUCUCCACUAAUUCUAUAAAGUGAUUUUCUAUUGUGUUUCUAAGGGCUUGUUUAGUUCGCGAAUAGAUUUUUUUUGGAUAUACUAUAGCAAUUAAUGUCCAAUCAUGAACUGUGUAAUUAGUUAUUUUUUGACAGUCUAAUGUAUAUAUUAUAGCAAUUAAUGUCCAAUCAUGAACUUGUUUAGUUUGUGAAAAGAUUUUUUUUUGUAAAUAUUUAUUUUUUUAAUUUAUAUUUAAUAUUUCAUAUAUUCAAAUAUUUGUGACGAGACAAAAAGUUUUUGAAUGAGGCCUUGUUUAGUUUACCCCAAAAAACAAAAAACUUUUCAAGAUUCUUCGUCACAUCGAAUCUUAGGGCACAUGCAUGAAGCACUAAACAUAGAUGAAAAUAAAAAUUAAUUGUACAAUUUACUUGUAAAUCGCG
RNAcentral lists this long non-coding RNA (788 nucleotides) under Sorghum bicolor (sorghum). RNAcentral describes it as "long non-coding RNA (SBIC_LNC002965)". Lineage: Eukaryota; Viridiplantae; Streptophyta; Magnoliopsida; Poales; Poaceae. The record is from RNAcentral.